GCCUUCGUAGUGUAGUGGUCAGCACGCUCGACGCGUAAUCGAGAGGUCCGUGGUUCGAUUCUCGGCGAAGGCA
RNAcentral lists this transfer RNA (73 nucleotides) under Stegodyphus mimosarum. Its description in RNAcentral is "tRNA-Thr for anticodon CGU". It matches the Rfam family "tRNA". From Rfam's summary of the family: Transfer RNA (tRNA) molecules are approximately 80 nucleotides in length. Their secondary structure includes four short double-helical elements and three loops (D, anti-codon, and T loops). Lineage: Eukaryota; Metazoa; Arthropoda; Arachnida; Araneae; Eresidae. The record is from Rfam by way of RNAcentral.